RNAcentral lists this ribosomal RNA (441 nucleotides) under uncultured Acinetobacter sp. Its description in RNAcentral is "bacterial SSU rRNA". It matches the Rfam family "Bacterial small subunit ribosomal RNA", at positions 358 to 790 of the family's 1533-position model. The record is from RNAcentral. Lineage: Bacteria; Pseudomonadati; Pseudomonadota; Gammaproteobacteria; Moraxellales; Moraxellaceae.
GGAAUAUUGGACAAUGGGGGAAACCCUGAUCCAGCCAUGCCGCGUGUGUGAAGAAGGCCUUUUGGUUGUAAAGCACUUUAAGCGAGGAGGAGGCUACUUAGAAUAAUACUCUAAGAUAGUGGACGUUACUCGCAGAAUAAGCACCGGCUAACUCUGUGCCAGCAGCCGCGGUAAUACAGAGGGUGCGAGCGUUAAUCGGAUUUACUGGGCGUAAAGCGUACGUAGGUGGUCUUUUAAGUCGGAUGUGAAAUCCCUGAGCUUAACUUAGGAAUUGCAUUCGAUACUGGGAGACUAGAGUAUGGGAGAGGAUGGUAGAAUUCCAGGUGUAGCGGUGAAAUGCGUAGAGAUCUGGAGGAAUACCGAUGGCGAAGGCAGCCAUCUGGCCUAAUACUGACACUGAGGUACGAAAGCAUGGGGAGCAAACAGGAUUAGAUACCCUAG